GCUGAGUGGGAGCUCUGAAAUGAGAGAGAUUUCAGGUUGAAUCCAGGCUCUGAAAAGUGUGUGUCCUUGGGCAGGUGGCUUUAUGUAUCUGAGCAACUGAUCUUAAACACGGCAUGAGGUGAACUCCUGCUUCCCUUUAAGUGCAAAUUCAAUCCUCUCCCACCAUCUCCAUGGAGCUGACCAUCCAUCUUCCAUGAUGCUUCUGCAUGCUAGGCUGAGAAGUCCAUGGUCUGCCGGUGGCAAGCUGAAGACCCAGGAGAGUGAAUGACAUCAUCCAGUAUGAGUCCAAAGGUCUCAGAACCAGGAGAGCCAAGAGUGCCCCAGUCCAACUCUGAGUGCGAAGGCAGAAGACUGAUGUCCCAGCUCAAAGAUAGUCAGCCACAGUUUCAUCAUAUGGCAAACUGAUACACCUGCCUCAAAAGACUGUUGCAGAGUCUCAAGAAGAUAAUAUGGAAAUAUAUAGUGUUGCACUCAGC
Long non-coding RNA from Globicephala melas (long-finned pilot whale), 476 nucleotides. RefSeq lists it as uncharacterized. NCBI's taxonomy places the organism in Eukaryota, Metazoa, Chordata, Mammalia, Artiodactyla, Delphinidae. The record is from RefSeq and is a predicted model, not a curated record.